CGCACAUUGCGCCCCGUGGUAUUCCGCGGGGCAUGCCUGUUCGAGCGUCGGUUGAACCCCCCUCGUCCGGUGCUACCACGGCGCCGGGUAGGCCUUGGGCGUCGUUUUCCGCCGGAACCCCCGGUAGGAGACGCCUUCAACCUGUCGGCGGCGGCGCUGAGCCCUAGACGUAACGGAUUAAGCGUCUCGAAGGGUUCCGGUGUCCGCCGGCCCACGCAGCAGACGGGAUAAAACCCCUCUAGACCACGUUCUGACCUCGGAUCAGGUAGGGAUACCCGCUGAACUUAA
RNAcentral lists this unclassified non-coding RNA (288 nucleotides) under Lecanosticta guatemalensis. RNAcentral's name for it is "partial contains 5.8S ribosomal RNA, internal transcribed spacer 2, and large subunit ribosomal RNA". Lineage: Eukaryota; Fungi; Ascomycota; Dothideomycetes; Mycosphaerellales; Mycosphaerellaceae. The record is from RNAcentral.